GCCAAGGAGUCUAACAUGUGCGCAAGUCAUUGGGUGUUAAAACCUAAAGGCAAAACAAAAAUGAAAAAAGCUUAAGCUUUAUUAGGGAGGAUGACUAUUUAACUUAAUACUAGUGGUAGUCCGCACUCCCGGGGCGUCUAUUACUCAUUGCGAGUAAAGGCGCACCAAGAGCGUACACGUUGGGACCCGAAAGAUGGUGAACUAUGCCUGGCCAGGAUGAAGCCAGGGGAAACCCUGGUGGAGGUCCGCAGCGAUUCUGACGUGCAAAUCGAUCGUCUGAGCUAGGUAUAGGGGCGAUAGACUUAUCGAACUAUCUAGUAGCUGGUUCCCUCCGAAGUUUCCCUCAGGAUAGCUGGUGCCGAUGAUGAUGAAUGAGUCUCAUCCGGUAAAGCGAAUGAUUAGAGGCCUUGGGGCCGAAACGACCUCAACCUAUUCUCAAACUUUAAAUGGAUGAGAGCUUUGGCUUGCUAAAAA
This 474-nucleotide ribosomal RNA is filed under the name Schizoptera (Schizoptera) sp. 10 SL-2016. RNAcentral describes it as "eukaryotic LSU rRNA". It matches the Rfam family "Eukaryotic large subunit ribosomal RNA", at positions 666 to 1096 of the family's 3401-position model. The record is from RNAcentral. Lineage: Eukaryota; Metazoa; Arthropoda; Insecta; Hemiptera; Schizopteridae.